This 253-nucleotide ribosomal RNA is filed under the name uncultured bacterium. RNAcentral describes it as "partial 16S ribosomal RNA". It matches the Rfam family "Bacterial small subunit ribosomal RNA", at positions 524 to 776 of the family's 1533-position model. The record is from RNAcentral.
UACGAAGGGGGCUAGCGUUGUUCGGAAUUACUGGGCGUAAAGCGCGCGUAGGCGGUGAUCUUUGUCAGAGGUGAAAUCCCGAGGCUCAACUUCGGAAUUGCCUUUGAAACGGGAUCGCUAGAGUCCGAGAGAGGAUGGCGGAAUUCCUAGUGUAGAGGUGAAAUUCGUAGAUAUUAGGAAGAACACCGGUGGCGAAGGCGGCCAUCUGGCUCGGUACUGACGCUCAGGCGCGAAAGCGUGGGGAGCAAACAGG